Molecule: ribosomal RNA, 253 nt
Filed under: uncultured bacterium
Lineage: Bacteria
Description: partial 16S ribosomal RNA
Rfam family: Bacterial small subunit ribosomal RNA
Source: RNAcentral
GACAGAGGGUGCAAACGUUGCUCGGAAUUACUGGGCGUAAAGGGAGCGUAGGCGGACUGUUAAGUUAGAGGUGAAAGCCCAGGGCUCAACCUUGGAAUUGCCUUUGAUACUGGCAGUCUUGAGUACGGAAGAGGUAUGUGGAACUCCGAGUGUAGAGGUGAAAUUCGUAGAUAUUCGGAAGAACACCAGUGGCGAAGGCGACAUACUGGUCCGUUACUGACGCUGAGGCUCGAAAGCGUGGGGAGCAAACAGG